GCACCAAGAUGGCGGAGCGGUCUAG
Molecule: non-coding RNA, 25 nt
Filed under: Arabidopsis thaliana (thale cress)
Lineage: Eukaryota; Viridiplantae; Streptophyta; Magnoliopsida; Brassicales; Brassicaceae
Source: RNAcentral